Molecule: long non-coding RNA, 220 nt
Filed under: Elaeis guineensis (African oil palm)
Lineage: Eukaryota; Viridiplantae; Streptophyta; Magnoliopsida; Arecales; Arecaceae
Description: long non-coding RNA (EGUI_LNC059175)
Source: RNAcentral
CACGAUUCGGAUGAUCUGAUCAGGGUUGACAGUUUAACCUUGAGUCAUCCUAAACACAGAGGUCAAAAGGAUGAAUUAUACAGUAACCAUAUUCAUGUAGGUUCUGAGUGUUGUAAUUACGACCAUUCGACCUAUCCGAUCGUCGGGUACCAUUGCUAGAUGGUCACUUCGAUUAGUACAAGAAUUGAUUUCUGUGCUACCGGCUUAGGUUCGAAUCUAU